Molecule: ribosomal RNA, 245 nt
Filed under: uncultured Lachnospiraceae bacterium
Lineage: Bacteria; Bacillati; Bacillota; Clostridia; Lachnospirales; Lachnospiraceae
Description: partial 16S ribosomal RNA
Rfam family: Bacterial small subunit ribosomal RNA
Source: RNAcentral
UACGUAGGGGGCAAGCGUUAUCCGGAUUUACUGGGUGUAAAGGGAGCGCAGACGGACAGGCAAGUCUGAUGUGAAAACCCGGGGCUCAACCCCGGGACUGCAUUGGAAACUGCAGGUCUGGAGUGUCGGAGAGGUAAGCGGAAUUCCUGGUGUAGCGGUGAAAUGCGUAGAUAUCAGGAGGAACACCGGUGGCGAAGGCGGCUUACUGGACGAUGACUGACGUUGAGGCUCGAAAGCGUGGGGAG